GGGGGCGUAAAGGUUUCGACGGGGAUGUGGAACCGAAAGCAGCGAGUAGUGGUCGGGAGCCACUUAAAAAGUCCGAAUUUUAAAAAUAAACGCUAAGAAAAAUUUAGCUUACGCUGCCUAAUUACGGCAGCCGUCUUACCUGUGAGUACCACGGCAUAGGUUAAGGCGUCACACAGUGGUGAACGUGAGCAGUCAAAGCUUUGAGGCUGCCAUGAAUAAUGAAGCUACCGAAUCGUUCAGCCUGUCUGCGGGCGGUUUGACAAGGGAACAAUAAUUCACAGACUGCACUCGGAGAAGCUUGCGGGAAAAUGUUUUCGGACAGGGGUUCAAUUCCCCUCGCCUCCACCA
This 348-nucleotide transfer-messenger RNA is filed under the name Clostridia. Its description in RNAcentral is "RUG12999 sp902784805 Standard tmRNA". It matches the Rfam family "transfer-messenger RNA". Rfam says of the family: Bacterial tmRNA, also known as 10Sa RNA or SsrA, is named for its dual tRNA and mRNA-like properties. Its role is to liberate the mRNA from a stalled ribosome. To accomplish this part of the tmRNA is used as a reading frame that ends in a translation stop signal. The record is from RNAcentral. RNAcentral also lists the same sequence under 1 other name. Lineage: Bacteria; Bacillati; Bacillota.